CCUACGGGUGGCCGCAGUGAGGAAUAUUGGUCAAUGGCCGGAAGGCUGAACCAGCCAAGCCGCGUGAAUGACGAAGGUGCCAAGCAUUGUAAACUUCUUUUGUCAAGGGACAAAAUCAGGCUCGAGAGCCUGACCGAGGGUACUUGAAGAAAAAGCAUCGGCAAACUCCGUGCCAGCAGACGCGGUAAUACGGAGGAUGCGAUCGUUAUCCGGAUUGGUUGGGUUUAAAGGGUGCGUAGGCGGGCUUUUAAGUCAUCGGUAAACGCCCGGGGUGCACCCUCGGCGAGCCGUUGAAACUGGCUGUCUUGAGAUGUCGAGAGGUAUGCGGAAUGCGAAGUGUAGCGGUGAAAUGAUUAGAUAUUGCGCAGAACUCCGAUUGCGAAGGCAGCAUCCCGGCG
RNAcentral lists this ribosomal RNA (398 nucleotides) under uncultured bacterium. RNAcentral's name for it is "partial 16S ribosomal RNA". It matches the Rfam family "Bacterial small subunit ribosomal RNA", at positions 338 to 734 of the family's 1533-position model. The record is from RNAcentral.